UUAUACAUGAAAUAAAUUUUAAUAUUUUUUAUAUAAGUAUAUAAAAAUAUAUAUUAUGUUACGCAUGUGUGCGAUGCAUAUGUAUAAC
Hepatocystis sp. ex Piliocolobus tephrosceles is the source of this 88-nucleotide non-coding RNA. The record is from the annotation of a GenBank genome assembly. Lineage: Eukaryota; Apicomplexa; Aconoidasida; Haemosporida; Plasmodiidae.